CUACGGGUUGCUUCAGUGAGGAAUAUUGGACAAUGGGAGGAAUCCUGAUCCAGCCAUGCCGCGUGAAGGAAGACAGUCCUAUGGAUUGUAAACUUCUUUUGUAUGGGGGCAAUAAUCGCUACGCGUAGUGAGAUGAGAGUACCAUACGAAUAAGCAUCGGCUAACUCCGUGCCAGGCAGCCGCGGUAAUACGGAGGAUGCGAGCGUUAUCCGGAUUUAUUGGGUUUAAAGGGUGCGUAGGCUGUUAUUUAAGUCAGCGGUGAAAAGUUGAUGCUCAACAUCAAUCGUGCCGUUGAAACUGAGUGACUAGAAUUAGGAUGCUGUUAGCGGAAUGUGUGGUGUAGCGGUGAAAUGCAUAGAUAUCACACAGAACACCGAUUGCGAAGGCAGCUAACAAAGGCUAAAUUGACGCUGAUGCACGAAAGUGUGGGGAUCAAACAGGAUUAGAUACCCGUGUAGUC
This 460-nucleotide ribosomal RNA is filed under the name uncultured bacterium. Its description in RNAcentral is "partial 16S ribosomal RNA". It matches the Rfam family "Bacterial small subunit ribosomal RNA", at positions 339 to 795 of the family's 1533-position model. The record is from RNAcentral.